Molecule: long non-coding RNA, 1471 nt
Organism: Neogale vison (American mink)
Lineage: Eukaryota; Metazoa; Chordata; Mammalia; Carnivora; Mustelidae
Exons: 6
Source: RefSeq, a predicted model, not a curated record
AGCAGCCAAAGCAAGACAUAGGAUAUUCACGGACAGAAUGUCCUGGAAUUAUGUUUAUUAGCUGUCUGGGGAGGAGGAAGGCGAGCCAGUGAGAAGGAUAGGAGUGUGCUGGGAAGGAUCAGCAGGUGAACAAUGAUGUUUGACUCGGCUUGCCUGUCAAUGUUGGAAAGUUGUGCAAUAUAGAGAUUCAACAGUUCCAUAUAUCACCCGGUGCCUAUCAAGGUUUUGAGGGUGUCUUCCCGUUCUGAGAGUGCAAAGCUGAAGGAAGUCCAGAAAGACAAAAUGAAUUCAUCUUUGGAGGAGAGAGAAAGGAUUAAGUAAGGAAAGAAAAUGGGCAGUCCUGAACCAGACAGGACUUUGAAGCAAGGGAGUGGCAAGACCAGAUCUGAACUCUCCAAAGUCCUCUCUGAUGAGGAAAUGGUAAAGCAAAGGGUUUGAACAAACUAUUCACAGGGCAGGGGCUGUAUGACUGGGAAGGCUGCAAACAAUUCAGAAAAUGUGAAACCCCUACAAGAGAACAAGAGACUCCGGUGAAGUGGACUUUCCACCCUUCAUGUUUAAACAUGGAACGACAAUGAGGCACGCAGAAGCUUACAGUCUACCCACCGUCAUUUAAUGAACUGGCAGAUCUCACUCUUGAAUUGAGGCAGCUUGGACCAUGAACUGAGCUUUUAAAUACAGCCCUGUUCUGCCACCUGGUGGCUAACAGUGGAAAGUGCAACAAUAGGGGUGUGUCUGGGCCAGUGUGGGGAGGUCAGUGAAGCCUGCAGAAGAUGGGAACUUGAACCAGAAGUUGGGAAGACAUCUGAAGACAGAGGCGUUUGAGACAGAGGGAGAGACACGUGCCAAGGUAGCGAGGCGACAGUUUUGGCGCCCUGCGCGGGGAACAUGACGAUCCUGGUGAGCCAAGAGGCUGCCUUCUUAGAAGCAAAGAGUGGACCAGGAGGCUCAUGGGAGUUGCAGCUUUAUGGGCUGGCCCUCCAACACUUGACUUUGGGAUUGAUUCUCAACAAAACACGAACUCUUCUUCACUAUCAGUGCUGUGAAGUGCAGUUCCAAGAAUAGGGCUGCAAACCCACGAUGGGUGGGUGAGUAGAGAAGGGAGGGCAGCUUCUCCAGGAUGCCUGUGGGCCCCUCCCUCUACCAGCAGCUCUUGACCACAGCGGCCAACCAGGCACACAUCACACCAUGCUGCUUGAGAGAAAGUAACCAGCUCCCCCUAACUGCCAGUGACUGGGCUGACUGUUGAGAACAAUCUUCUUAAGAAUCAUUCCUUGUUUGCAUGUGCAGGACGCUUUGGAGGGCAGAAAGAAACCUGCCUUAUAGUGAUUCAGAGACUCUUCAUACACUGCAAGUUUGCAUGGACUCUAAUACAUGACUUCCUUUUCUUGAGGCAAAGCCAAUAUUUAAGAAAAGAAUUUGCUGGGGUCCUGGGUGGUGCAUGGCUUAAAUGUCUGAUCCUUGGUUUUGG